UACGUAGGGGGCAAGCGUUGUCCGGAAUCAUUGGGCGUAAAGGGCGCGUAGGCGGUUUUGUAAGUCUUGUGUGAAAUCUUCAGGCUCAACUUGAAGACUGCACGAGAAACUGCAGGGCUUGAGUGUGGGAGAGGUGAGUGGAAUUCCUGGUGUAGCGGUGAAAUGCGUAGAUAUCAGGAGGAACACCUGUGGCGAAAGCGGCUCACUGGACCACAACUGACGCUGAUGCACGAAAGCUAGGGGAGCAAACAGG
RNAcentral lists this ribosomal RNA (253 nucleotides) under uncultured bacterium. RNAcentral's name for it is "partial 16S ribosomal RNA". It matches the Rfam family "Bacterial small subunit ribosomal RNA", at positions 524 to 776 of the family's 1533-position model. The record is from RNAcentral.